RNAcentral lists this ribosomal RNA (292 nucleotides) under uncultured bacterium. RNAcentral describes it as "partial 16S ribosomal RNA". It matches the Rfam family "Bacterial small subunit ribosomal RNA", at positions 335 to 644 of the family's 1533-position model. The record is from RNAcentral.
UUUCCUACGGGACGCAGCAGUGGGGAAUAUUGCACAAUGGGGGAAACCCUGAUGCAGCGACGCCGCGUGAAGGACGAAGUAUUUCGGUACGUAAACUUCUAUCAGCAGGGAAGAAAAUGACGGUACCUGACCAAGAAGCCCCGGCUAACUACGUGCCAGCAGCCGCGGUAAUACGUAGGGGGCAAGCGUUAUCCGGAUUUACUGGGUGUAAAGGGAGCGUAGACGGCCAUGCAAGUCUGAUGUGAAAACCCGGGGCUCAACCCCGGGACUGCAUUGGAAACUGUGCGGCUGG